This is a long non-coding RNA of Rattus norvegicus (Norway rat), 855 nucleotides long. RefSeq lists it as uncharacterized. NCBI's taxonomy places the organism in Eukaryota, Metazoa, Chordata, Mammalia, Rodentia, Muridae. The record is from RefSeq and is a predicted model, not a curated record.
AAUCCUAAAGGUUCCAUAACUGUCCCCAACGGCACCAGCAGCUAGGGAGCACAUGUUCAGAUACAGGAGCUUAUGGGGCAUUUCUCAUUCAAAUGGGGCUGUCUCCACAUUUGGCUCUGGCUCCUAAUGACAUGAAUAGGAAGUAAUUACCACGUUUCUAGAGAACAAGCUGUUUGGGUAAUGGCCUUAGAUGGACAGAGCCAGCAUCCUCACAGGAAUGGCGCUAAUGGGGGAGAUGCUCCAGGUAGGCAUACGUGAGCACAGGCGCCUGCAGACACUGAAGACCUUGGAGCCUCUGGAGGUGGAGCUCAGAAGGCUGCGAGUUGCCGGACUUGGGAGCUGGGAACUGAAUCUGGGUCCUCUGGAAGAGCAACGAGUCCUCUUCAGCACUGAGCUAUCUCUCCAGCCGCCAGAAUACAUUUUAAGUCGUGGAUGGUCCUAAGUAACUCGAUGAAGUACUGAGCUCACUGUUGAUGCAUGUAUGCACGUGUGCAUUUGAGGUCAGAGGACAACCUGCAGGUUCUCUCCUUCCACUGUGUAGAAUCCUGGAAUACAACUCAGGCUGGCAGGGUUAGCAGCAAACACCUUACCUGCUGAGCCAUCUUGCUAACCCUUAAAUGUCAUUUUUAAAAACUGUUUUACUAAUAUUCAAAAUUGAGACAUUUUAAAAUCAUGUAUGGUUACUGUCUGUUGUAUUUUAUAAAAAUACAUAUAGAGAGAAGGAGUGUGUUUGGUGGAUGUGUCGUCAGGUGUGGAGGAAGGGGGUGCCUCUGCGGGCCCAUGCCCAGGCAUACCUUCCCCUGAGGGACCAGCCAUCAUGGAAUGGUAUAAUAUAGAAUAUAGUUUAUUCAGGGA